This 997-nucleotide long non-coding RNA is filed under the name Cricetulus griseus (Chinese hamster). Its description in RNAcentral is "lncRNA (ENSCGRG00015035373.1)". The record is from RNAcentral. Lineage: Eukaryota; Metazoa; Chordata; Mammalia; Rodentia; Cricetidae.
UGCAGCCGCCACGUCUCAGGUUAGGGGCUAGAGCUGAGAUCUCUGCUGUGAGUACACAGGCCACCGUGGAGGGAUGAACAUGUGGAAUUAAUAAAUGUGUUGAGCUAAGACUGUAAUUAGUGUGAUGACAUCACUCCUCAUAAUCAGCUUUUCUGCUGGAAAUGAAAACACACUUAUAUUCUGAACACCUGGAUGCUUGCUCAUACUCGCUCCAAAGACCCAAAGCAUCUGGCUGAGCCCUGGUGACCUGUACAUGGCUGCCUCUGGAUUUGACUAUGACAGGGACACCACUGGAUGUCUGGUGUUAUCCAUGCCGGAUUGACAGUGUGUGUCUGUCCUUCUAGCAUCUCCAUUUUCACUCUCCAUUUCUCUCUUCCCCUUUGAAUGUACUCCAAAUGCACUUCCUGCCCAAAUGGUAUCUUUAGCCUCAGGUGGAUGCUUUUGUACAGAAUGCAGCCUCUGCAGUUAUGCAUGGCAAUCCUGAGUUUUGAUCCUCAGCCUGGUAGACCAGCUCAGAAAAUGAGAGACAAGAAAGAUGCAGGAAUCUCUCAGUAACAGUAACAUUGGACAAGGAUUAUUUGUGUCCCAAAAAGUCUUAUAGUAAGAGAUGGUGAACUCUUUGAUCCUAUAUAAGAAAAAAAGGAAACUACUUGAUCUGUUUAACUUCAGAAGGAAGACUCUAACCUCCACUUUUCAUGUCAUCGGUGGUGUACUUCCAUCCAUCCUGAAGACUUUGAGAUAUUGGUGUAAUUCUUGCCACUGUUGGGGAUUUCCAUUGUUCUUGAUCCCAUCUUCUUGAACAUCCUCCUUCUGUCCAAUCCACUCCAUUCUUAUACAAAGACAAGAGGACAUUGGAAAGACACCAAAGCACACGGCCAAGUGAGCACAUAGUGAGAGGUGGCCAUCUGCAAACCGGCGUGUGAGCCCCAGGAGAAGCUGCACCAGCUGAUACCUUGAUCAGAGCUGUAAGGGAAUAAAUUUCAGUUGUUUAAGCAAC